UGGGGUUUAGCUCACUGGUAGAGUGCUUGCCUAGCAUGCAUGAGGCCUAGGGUUCAAUCCUCAGUCCUGU
This 70-nucleotide transfer RNA is filed under the name Heterocephalus glaber (naked mole-rat). It matches the Rfam family "tRNA". From Rfam's summary of the family: Transfer RNA (tRNA) molecules are approximately 80 nucleotides in length. Lineage: Eukaryota; Metazoa; Chordata; Mammalia; Rodentia; Bathyergidae. The record is from Rfam by way of RNAcentral.